AGAGUUUGAUCCUGGCUCAGGACGAACGCUGGCGGCGCGCCUAACACAUGCAAGUCGAACGAGAGAGAGGGAGCUUGCUUCCUCAAUCGAGUGGCGAACGGGUGAGUAACGCGUGAGGAACCUGCCUCAAAGAGGGGGACAACAGUUGGAAACGACUGCUAAUACCGCAUAAGCCCACGACCCGGCAUCGGGAAGAGGGAAAAGGAGCAAUCCGCUUUGAGAUGGCCUCGCGUCCGAUUAGCUAGUUGGUGAGGUAACGGCCCACCAAGGCGACGAUCGGUAGCCGGACUGAGAGGUUGAACGGCCACAUUGGGACUGAGACACGGCCCAGACUCAUACGGGAGGCAGCAGUGGGGAAUAUUGCACAAUGGGGGAAACCCUGAUGCAGCGACGCCGCGUGGAGGAAGAAGGUCUUCGGAUUGUAAACUCCUGUUGUUGAGGAAGAUAAUGACGGUACUCAACAAGGAAGUGACGACUAACUACGUGCCAGCAGCCGCGGUAAAACGUAGGUCACAAGCGUUGUCCGGAAUUACUGGGUGUAAAGGGAGCGCAGGCGGGCGAUCAAGUUGGAAGUGAAAUCCAUGGGCUCAACCCAUGAACUGCUUUCAAAACUGGUCGUCUUGAGUAGUGCAGAGGUAGGCGGAAUUCCCGGUGUAGCGGUGGAAUGCGUAGAUAUCGGGAGGAACACCAGUGGCGAAGGCGGCCUACUGGGCACCAACUGACGCUGAGGCUCGAAAGUGUGGGUAGCAAACAGGAUUAGAUACCCUGGUAGUCCACACCGUAAACGAUGAUUACUAGGUGUUGGGGAUUGACCCUCUCAGUGCCGCAGUUAACACAAUAAGUAAUCCACCUGGGGAGUACGACCGCAAGGUUGAAACUCAAAGGAAUUGACGGGGGCCCGCACAAGCAGUGGAGUAUGUGGUUUAAUUCGACACAACGCGAAGAACUUUACCAAGUCUUGACAUCCCUUGACGAUGCUGGAAACAGUAUUUCUCUUCGGAGCAAGGAGACAGGUGGUGCAUGGUUGUCGUCAGCUCGUGUCGUGAGAUGUUGGGUUAAGUCCCGCAACGAGCGCAACCCUUAUGGUCAGUUACUACGCAAGAGGACUCUGGCCAGACUGCCGUUGACAAAACGGAGGAAGGUGGGGAUGACGUCAAAUCAUCAUGCCCUUUAUGACUUGGGCUACACACGUACUACAAUGGCGUUAAACAAAGAGAAGCAAGACCGCAAGGUGGAGCAAAACUCAGAAACAACGUCCCAGUUCGGACUGCAGGCUGCAACUCGCCUGCACGAAGUCGGAAUUGCUAGUAAUCGUGGAUCAGCAUGCCACGGUGAAUACGUUCCCGGGCCUUGUACACACCGCCCGUCACACCA
Molecule: ribosomal RNA, 1374 nt
Filed under: metagenome
Description: bacterial SSU rRNA
Rfam family: Bacterial small subunit ribosomal RNA
Source: RNAcentral